GUCCUUUCCUGGAUUUAGAUAUUUCGGUUAAAAACGGGAAACUCCACACUAAAAUUUACGACAACAGAGACGAUUUUUCGUUCCCUAUUGUUAAUUUUCCAUUUUUAGAUGGUGAUGUUCCUUUGGCACCAUCUUACGGUGUUUAUAUUUCACAACUUGUUCGCUAUGCCCGUGUCUGUUGUGACGUUUUUGAUUUUAACGAACCCAACC
Molecule: long non-coding RNA, 210 nt
Filed under: Mytilus galloprovincialis (Mediterranean mussel)
Lineage: Eukaryota; Metazoa; Mollusca; Bivalvia; Mytilida; Mytilidae
Source: RNAcentral